This 227-nucleotide signal recognition particle RNA is filed under the name bovine gut metagenome. Its description in RNAcentral is "Bacterial large signal recognition particle RNA". It matches the Rfam family "Bacterial large signal recognition particle RNA", at positions 4 to 228 of the family's 256-position model. Rfam says of the family: The signal recognition particle (SRP) is a universally conserved ribonucleoprotein involved in the co-translational targeting of proteins to membranes. Archaeal SRP consists of a 7S RNA and homologues of the eukaryotic SRP19 and SRP54 proteins. The record is from RNAcentral.
UACCAGCCGGGGGAGUAGCGGGUCCUUGAACUCGAAAUCCGCUGUAGCGAGGGUUGAUUCCUGGUUUGAGGGCGUUGUGGGCAUAGUCUGAGCUUCACGGAAGGCGAUGACGAAUGGGUCUUGUGCGAUUGGCGGCUGUGAACCAUGUCAGGUGGGGAACCAAGCAGCAUUAAGCAGUUUAGUUGAUGCGCCGCAAGGUAGCCUGUUCUGAGCCGGAAACUGCAGUG